RNAcentral lists this long non-coding RNA (380 nucleotides) under Brassica napus (rape). Its description in RNAcentral is "long non-coding RNA (BNAP_LNC016959)". Lineage: Eukaryota; Viridiplantae; Streptophyta; Magnoliopsida; Brassicales; Brassicaceae. The record is from RNAcentral.
CCAAGGAGACUGUGUCAAAUGUGAUAUUAUAUACCUGGCCUUAAAAGUAUCAGUGAGAGUAUCAUAGCUGAGCUCAGCAUCAUAGCAUGACAACAUGAACCCUACAUGCCCAUUCUGCUCUUACACCAAAAGGUCACUACUACUUUAAUAAUUAAAUCUAGAAAAAAGCUUUGAAUCGAGUAACUAUGUUUGUGAACUGAUUUUUUACCUCGCGGUUGUAAACUUGAGCAGGGAACCAAAAACGACCAGUUUCAAGGGAGAGGUAGAAGCUCAUGGUGGAAUCAAGUGGCAGAGAAGACGCAGCAUAUCUCUUCCUCUUAUUAUCAUCAUCAUCAUCAUUUCGGAAAACAGAUCGGAUCAAAGAGAUGAUUUUGUCAAAA